This 351-nucleotide ribosomal RNA is filed under the name uncultured archaeon. Its description in RNAcentral is "partial 16S ribosomal RNA". The record is from RNAcentral.
GGCCAUAAGCCAACGCAUCACCGAGUUUGCAUCGUUUACAGCUGGGACUACCCGGGUAUCUAAUCCGGUUUGCUCCCCCAGCUUUCAUCCCUCACCGUCGAACGCGUUCUGGCAGACCGCCUUCGCCACUGGUGGUCCUCGGAGGAUCAGAGGAUUUUACCCCUACCCCCCGAAUACCGUCUGCCUCUCCCGCUCCCUAGCUUUGUAGUAUCUCCAGCAGCCCACCUGUUGAGCAGGUGGAUUUAACCGGAGACUUGCAGAGCCGGCUACGGAUGCUUUAGGCCCAAUAAACGUCCUGACCACUCGAGGUGCUGGUAUUACCGCGGCGGCUGACACCAGACUUGCCCACCC